UACGGAGGGGGUUAGCGUUGUUCGGAAUUACUGGGCGUAAAGCGUACGUAGGCGGAUCAGAAAGUUGGGGGUGAAAUCCCAGGGCUCAACCCUGGAACUGCCUCCAAAACUAUUGGUCUAGAGUUCGAGAGAGGUAAGUGGAAUUCCGAGUGUAGAGGUGAAAUUCGUAGAUAUUCGGAGGAACACCAGUGGCGAAGGCGGCUUACUGGCUCGAUACUGACGCUGAGGUACGAAAGUGUGGGGAGCAAACAGG
Molecule: ribosomal RNA, 253 nt
Filed under: uncultured bacterium
Lineage: Bacteria
Description: partial 16S ribosomal RNA
Rfam family: Bacterial small subunit ribosomal RNA
Source: RNAcentral